Molecule: ribosomal RNA, 822 nt
Filed under: Parasola auricoma
Lineage: Eukaryota; Fungi; Basidiomycota; Agaricomycetes; Agaricales; Psathyrellaceae
Description: eukaryotic LSU rRNA
Rfam family: Eukaryotic large subunit ribosomal RNA
Source: RNAcentral
GAUUCCCCUAGUAACUGCGAGUGAAGAGGGAAAAGCUCAAAUUUAAAAUCUGGCGGCCUUUGGUCGUCCGAGUUGUAAUCUAGAGAAGUGUUACCCGCGCCGGACCGUGUAUAAGUCUCCUGGAAUGGAGCGUCAUAGAGGGUGAGAAUCCCUGCUUCGACACGGAUCCCCGGGGCAUUGUGGUGCGCUCUCAAAGAGUCGAGUUGUUUGGGAAUGCAGCUCAAAAUGGGUGGUAAAUUCCAUCUAAAGCUAAAUAUUGGCGAGAGACCGAUAGCGAACAAGUACCGUGAGGGAAAGAUGAAAAGAACUUUGGAAAGAGAGUUAAACAGUACGUGAAAUUGCUGAAAGGGAAACGCUUGAAGUCAGUCGCGUCGUCUGGAAAUCAACCUAGCUCUUGCUGGGCGUACUUUCCAGUUGACGGGCCAGCAUCAGUUUUGACCGGUGGAAAAAGUUCAGGGGAAUGUGGCACUCCGGGUGUGUUAUAGCCCUUGUUCGUAUACAUCGGUUGGGACUGAGGAACUCAGCACGCCGCAAGGUCGGGUCUUCGGACUACGUUCGUGCUUAGGAUGCUGGCAUAAUGGCUUUAAUCGACCCGUCUUGAAACACGGACCAAGGAGUCUAACAUGCUUGCGAGUGUUUGGGUGGAAAACCCGAGCGCGCAAUGAAAGUGAAAGUUGAGAUCCCUGUCGUGGGGAGCAUCGACGCCCGGACCAGACGUUCUCUGACGGAUCCGAGGUAGAGCACGUAUGUUGGGACCCGAAAGAUGGUGAACUAUGCCUGAAUAGGGUGAAGCCAGAGGAAACUCUGGUGGAGGCUCGUAGC